Limanda limanda (common dab) is the source of this 374-nucleotide non-coding RNA. The record is from the annotation of a RefSeq genome assembly. NCBI's taxonomy places the organism in Eukaryota, Metazoa, Chordata, Actinopteri, Pleuronectiformes, Pleuronectidae.
AGUGCUUCAGGAUCAUGAUGCUGACAAUAACUCUGACCAUCAUGUUGGUUUUUCUGAGUCAGGAGUCUGCUGCCAACAGUUUUCUGACUCAGACUGACUCAGUCAAGUCUGUUAGUCUUGGAGGGACUGUGAACAUCGGAGCCACAGGGAGUUCAGAUAUUGAUGAUGACCUCAGUUGGUAUCUUCAGAAACCUGGACAGGCUCCCAAGCUCCUUAUACACUCUUCAUCAACUCUUAAUUCAGGAACUCCCUCUCGAUUCAGUGGCAGUUACUCUGGUUCUAGCUACACGUUAACGAUCAGAGGUGUUCAGGCUGAAGAUGUUGGAGAUUAUUACUGUCUCGGUGCUCAUGGCGGUGGCGUGUUCACACAGUGA